AGCAGCCGCGGUAAUUCCAGCUCCAAUAGCGUAUAUUAAAGUUGUUGCAGUUAAAAAGCUCGUAGUUGAACUUCAGGCCUGGCUGGACGGUCCGCCCUCUGGGUGAGCACUGUCUGUGGUCGGGUCCUACCUUCUGGCGAAGCGGCAUGGCCUUAACCGGCCGUGGCGGGGAACCAGGACUUUUACUGUGAAAAAAUUAGAGUGUUCAAAGCAGGCACGCGCUUGAAUACAUUAGCAUGGAAUAAUGGAAUAGGACAAUGGUUCUAUUUGUUGGUUUCUAGGACCGUUGUAAUGAUUAAUAGGGAUAGUUGGGGGCAUUAGUAUUCAAUUGUCAGAGGUGAAAUUCUUGGAUUUAUUGAAGACUAACUACUGCGAAAGCAUUUGCCAAGGAUGUUUUCAUUAAUCAAGAACGAAAGUUAGGGAUCGAAGACGAUCAGAUACCGUCGUAGUCUUAACCAUAAACCUAUGACCGACUAGGGAUCGGAUGAUGUUAAUUUUUAUGUACUCAUUCGGCGCCUUA
Molecule: ribosomal RNA, 520 nt
Filed under: uncultured Paraglomus
Lineage: Eukaryota; Fungi; Glomeromycota; Glomeromycetes; Paraglomerales; Paraglomeraceae
Description: SSU rRNA
Rfam family: Eukaryotic small subunit ribosomal RNA
Source: RNAcentral